This 253-nucleotide ribosomal RNA is filed under the name uncultured bacterium. RNAcentral's name for it is "partial 16S ribosomal RNA". It matches the Rfam family "Bacterial small subunit ribosomal RNA", at positions 524 to 776 of the family's 1533-position model. The record is from RNAcentral.
GACGGAGGGUGCUAGCGUUGUUCGGAAUUACUGGGCGUAAAGGGCGCGUAGGCGGCUCUGUCAGUCGGGUGUGAAAGCCCGGGGCUCAACCCCGGAACGGCACCCGAGACGGCGGGGCUGGAGACCGGGAGAGGAGGGUGGAAUAGCCAGUGUAGAGGUGAAAUUCGUAGAUAUUGGCUGGAACACCGGUGGCGAAAGCGGCUCUCUGGCCCGGUUCUGACGCUGAGGCGCGAAAGCGUGGGGAGCAAACAGG